Molecule: ribosomal RNA, 139 nt
Filed under: uncultured eukaryote
Lineage: Eukaryota
Description: partial 18S ribosomal RNA
Rfam family: Eukaryotic small subunit ribosomal RNA
Source: RNAcentral
UGGUGGAGUGAUUUGUCUGGUUAAUUCCGUUAACGAACGAGACCUCGACCUGCUAAAUAGUACACGGAAACCUUGGUUUCUGUCGCACUUCUUAGAGGGACUAUCGUAUGUAAGACGAUGGAAGUUCGAGGCAAUAACA